UACGGAGGGAGCUAGCGUUGUUCGGAAAUACUGGGCGUAAAGCGCACGUAGGCGGCGCCGCAAGUCAGGGGUGAAAUCCCGGGGCUCAACCCCGGAACUGCCCUUGAAACUGCGGUGCUAGAAUCUUGGAGAGGCGAGUGGAAUUCCGAGUGUAGAGGUGAAAUUCGUAGAUAUUCGGAAGAACACCAGUGGCGAAGGCGACUCGCUGGACAAGUAUUGACGCUGAGGUGCGAAAGCGUGGGGAGCAAACAGG
Molecule: ribosomal RNA, 253 nt
Filed under: uncultured bacterium
Lineage: Bacteria
Also listed under: 1 other name
Description: partial 16S ribosomal RNA
Rfam family: Bacterial small subunit ribosomal RNA
Source: RNAcentral